GAUGAACGCUAGCUACAGGCUUAACACAUGCAAGUCGAGGGGAAACGACAUCGAAAGCUUGCUUUUGAUGGGCGUCGACCGGCGCACGGGUGAGUAACGCGUAUCCAACCUGCCCAUCACUUGGGAAUAACCUUGCGAAAGUAAGACUAAUACCCAAUGAUAUCCCACGAAGGCAUCGGAAUGGGAUUAAAGAUUUAUCGGUGAUGGAUGGGGAUGCGUCUGAUUAGCUUGUUGGCGGGGUAACGGCCCACCAAGGCAACGAUCAGUAGGGGUUCUGAGAGGAAGGUCCCCCACAUUGGAACUGAGACACGGUCCAAACUCCUACGGGAGGCAGCAGUGAGGAAUAUUGGUCAAUGGGCGAGAGCCUGAACCAGCCAAGUAGCGUGCGGGAAGACGGCCCUAUGGGUUGUAAACUGCUUUUAUAAGGGAAUAAAGUGGGUCACGUGUGACUUUUUGCAUGUACCUUAUGAAUAAGGACCGGCUAAUUCCGUG
This 492-nucleotide ribosomal RNA is filed under the name uncultured bacterium. RNAcentral describes it as "partial 16S ribosomal RNA". It matches the Rfam family "Bacterial small subunit ribosomal RNA", at positions 28 to 507 of the family's 1533-position model. The record is from RNAcentral.